Molecule: long non-coding RNA, 782 nt
Organism: Sphaeramia orbicularis (orbiculate cardinalfish)
Lineage: Eukaryota; Metazoa; Chordata; Actinopteri; Kurtiformes; Apogonidae
Exons: 3
Source: RefSeq, a predicted model, not a curated record
GGACUCCAUCAGGGUUGGACUUAUAAUUGAUUCUGUUGUUUAUUCCCUUGUCCACUGACUUCCUGUUGUUUCUACCGUCAGUGUCUGACGGUAGAAACUGAGCAGCUUCGUGUCUGAGUCUCCACAUGAAGUGUUUGUUGUUUGACUGAUGUGGAUUCAGCAGAAUGGAUCAGUGUGAGGACAGAAGAGCCCCUCCCUGCAAGACCACCGACAGGACCCCCACAGGACCUGGACCUGACAGGACCCCUACGGGACCUGGACCUGAUAGUCAACCCAAAGCUCUGAGACCUGAACCGGGACCUGGACCUGGACCUGGACUUGGACCUGGACCUGAGCAUGAAGCUGGACCUAAACCUGGGCCUGGACCUGGACCUGAACAUGAACAUGAACCUGGACCUAAACAUGAAGCUGGACCUGGACCUCCAUCCAGUUGUGUGUCCUACAGCAGUGACCAUUCCAAACAAGGUUAAAUUUAUUUUAAACAUGAUCGUCCAUCAGACUCAGUGUAAGUUUCUCCAUAAGAUGAAAAUUCAUUUGGUUCCAUUUGUUUGAAUAAUUUCAGUUUAGUGAGAAAAAUUAAUGCACAUUAUUUAUUAUUUAAAUCAUGAAGUGACUCAUAAUGAACCAAAUCUUUAAAGAUGCUGUAUGUAGGAAUUCUGUUCCCAGUAAUUAUAAAAUGGUCCUGAGUGUCACCACACAUUAAGGAAUCCUGUUCAGUUCAAAUACUGAUAUCAUUGACAGUAGUAGUCCAGACAAAAUAAUCAUGUUUGAAAAGCUAAGUG